GUGGGGAAUAUUGGACAAUGGGCGAAAGCCUGAUCCAGCCAUGCCGCGUGUGUGAAGAAGGUCUUCGGAUUGUAAAGCACUUUAAGUUGGGAGGAAGGGCAGUAAGUUAAUACCUUGCUGUUUUGACGUUACCAACAGAAUAAGCACCGGCUAACUUCGUGCCAGCAGCCGCGGUAAUACGAAGGGUGCAAGCGUUAAUCGGAAUUACUGGGCGUAAAGCGCGCGUAGGUGGUUCAGCAAGUUGAAGGUGAAAUCCCCGGGCUCAACCUGGGAACUGCCUCCAAAGCUACUGAGCUAGAGUACGGUAGAGGGUAGUGGAAUUUCCUGUGUAGCGGUGAAAUGCGUAGAUAUAGGAAGGAACACCAGUGGCGAAGGCGACUACCUGGACUGAUACUGACACUGAGGUGCGAAAGCAUGGGGAGCAAACAGGAUUAGAAACCCUAGUAGUCC
RNAcentral lists this ribosomal RNA (450 nucleotides) under uncultured bacterium. RNAcentral describes it as "partial 16S ribosomal RNA". It matches the Rfam family "Bacterial small subunit ribosomal RNA", at positions 354 to 796 of the family's 1533-position model. The record is from RNAcentral.